Molecule: long non-coding RNA, 1096 nt
Filed under: Podarcis lilfordi (Lilford's wall lizard)
Lineage: Eukaryota; Metazoa; Chordata; Lepidosauria; Squamata; Lacertidae
Source: RNAcentral
AGUUAAAUUACAGAGUUAUGAGAAAUUAAAGUCCAAAGUGCGAGAUUGGUUGCACUACCUUCAGAUAAACGAGACAUUUAAACAGGACAGGAAAAUAGGUUUCCAGAAGGAGAGGUCAAAAUUAGAAACAGAACUGUUAGAACCCAAUACUAAGAAUCUGUCGAGAAUGUAUAAUCUGCUGUUGAAAUGGAACACACAGGAUGAAACGGUGAAAUCAGCUAUGAUAAAAUGGGCACAAGAUAUUGGUCAUAACAUUAUGUUUGCUGACUGGGAACAGCUGUGGACCACCGGUACUAAAUUUACGGCAUGUAAUGCCUUAAGAGAAAACAUUAUGAAAAUGAUGUAUAGGUGGUACAUGACCCCAGUCAAGCUUGCAAAAAUUUAUCAUCUGCCCAAUAACAAAUGUUGGAAAUGUAAUGAGACUGAAGGUACUUUUUAUCACCUUUGGUGGACCUGCCCGAGGAUAAAAGCUUUUUGGGAAAUGAUCUAUAAUGAAAUUAAGAAGGUUCUUAAAUGGACCUUUCCUAAAAAACCUGAGGCUUUUCUCCUGGGCAUAGUCGGCCAAUUGGUGAGAAGGAAGGACAGGACGUUUUUUAUGUAUGCGACUACAGCAGCAAGGAUUCUUCUAGCAAAGUAUUGGAAGACACAACAACUACCCACACUGGAAGAAUGGCAGACGAAGGUGAUCGACUACAUGGGACUGGCGGAGUUGACUGGCAGAAUCCGUGACCAGGGGAAAGAGACAGUGGAAGAAGAUUGGAAGAAAUUCAAAGUUUAUCUUAGAACUUGUUGUAAAAUUCAGGAAUGUUAAAAUGUCAAGGGGUUGUGAAACAGAGAAUUGCAGCUGUAAUUAACAAUAUUAGAAGAACUUAAAAGAAAUUGAACUGAAAAAUUAGCCGACUGAGGAGUUGCUGAAGAAAUAUAAAACAAGGAUGCAGAAAAGGGGAGGUAUGGGGAAGUCCGGAAAGUAAGGUUUAUGAAAAAAUGGUUAUGAAAUUAUACAUGUUUAUAUGUUUGUAUGUCGGUGUAUUGUGUAUUGUUUGUUUUUUCUUUGUUUUUUUUAUUUUGUGCUUGGAAAAUUAAUAAAAAUUUAUUU